CAUCUGGGGGGAGGCCCUGACACGCGGUCCUCAUCACUGGUCGCCUUGGACCGCGCCGAGCCACUGGCGAGACCGACCUGCCUCGAUG
This 88-nucleotide non-coding RNA is filed under the name unclassified sequences. The record is from Rfam.